GCUUUUUAAGGCUGCACCUGUGGCAUAUGGAAGUUCCCAGACUAGGGGUUGAAUUGGAACUGCAGCUGCUGGCCUACACCACAGCCACAGCAAUGUGGCAUCCCAGCUGCAUCUGUGACCUGUGCCACAGCGCACCACAACCCCGGAUCCUUAACCCACUGAGCGAGGCCAGGGAUUGAACCCGCAUCCUCAUAGACUCCCCCUCCAAACCUGCCCUCUUCCUCUAAGGGAGAAACAGCCUUCCUUCCCCUCUGGGUAGGCUCCUCAAGGUCAAGACUGAACGCUGUUCCCCCAAUAGGACGCUGUGGGACCAUGAACAUUAGUGGAAGUUAAGAGCUAGAAUCAUAGGGGGAGCAGCCAUCCCAAUAUUCAAAAAGCACACAGACUGGAGUGGUGAACAGAAUUGUGGGUGACCCCCCCCCAGAAGAGAUCAGGACUGAGCCAGCAGGGCUGUGAGAGUCAUCUUUGUACCCUUCUGCUCCAAACAGGACGCCCGAUCAAGAGCUCCAUAAACGCUGCUGCUGGUCGAUGCAUUUCUUCCCUGGCUGUUGGACAAGUAUUUAUAGAGAACCUGCUUACAUGCAGUGUCCCAGGCAUGGGGGAAGCAGCAAUGAACACUGCAAAAGUCCCCACCUUUCAAGUGGAAAAAGGCAAGGGAGGACGCAGCAGUGACUAGAGCAGAGGUCCCCCCUUUCAAGUGGAAAAAGGUACAGGGGGAUGCAGCAGUGGAGACAGCAAAAGUCCCUCCCUUUCAAGUGGAAAAAGGGAUAUAUAUGUGUGUGUGCGUGUGUGCGCGUGUGUGUGUAUACGUGUACUAUAUAUAUGCAUAUAUAUAUAUAGUACAGCAUACAAAUAAAUGCACAGUGUGGGGGAUGACAGCAAGUACACUGAAAAAAGCUAAAACAAGGUGGAGGAAAGGGUGUGGGUCGGAGGGCGGGGGAGGGGUGCCCUGUCUGUUCUGGGUGCUUGGGGAGGCCUUCCUGCAGGAUGCAAGAGGCUGAGCCACACACCGUUCAGGUUCUGGCCCAGGGGGCAGCCAAGGACGGAGGCUAGCUGGGCAGGUUCAAAGGCCAGCAUGAGCAGCAAAGUGUCGGAUAGAGUGAGCCAAGGGGGGUGUGGAAUGAAACCAGGGGCCAUACUAAGGAUCUUGAAUUUUUUUUUCUCUUCUUUUCAGGGCUGCAGUCGAGGCACAGGGGGCUUUCCAGGCUAGGGGUCAAAUCAGCGCUACAGCUGCCGACCACAGCUCACAGCAAUGCAGGAUCCUUAACCCACUGAGCAGGCCCAGGGAUCAACCCCACAUCCUCAUGGACCUUGGUCGGAUUUGUGACCACUGGGCUACGACAGGAACUCCCAGAAUGCUGGAUUUGAUGGGAAUAAGGUGGAAGGAUUCUAGGGUUCCGAGGGAAGAGGGUGGUCAUUAGUCUUGCUCGCCCUGUUUGAAGAGCAGACCCAGGAAAUAGAAAGCAGUGAGAAAAGAGAGAUUCGUUUUUUGAGGCUGCUAAAACCCUCCAGGGAAGAGAGGAAGAUGGAUUUUAAAAGCUCCCAACAACAUGACUUUGGGGUCACUUUGCACCGUGACUAUCUCUGGGUGUGAGAGCACAGCUGGUUCACAUGCCCACUGCAACCUGGAGGCCAGAUCCUGUUCAAAGAAAGGGCUUCUGAAGGCCCCUGGGAUCUGACAACCAGGAAGUGGGAAGGAGUCCUGGGCCGGAGACCAGAGCCCAUCUAUGGGCUGGGAGGGGUGCUGCCCUCACGUGCCUGUGCUGGAGAGGGGGCCUGGGAGCAAGUCCAGGUUUGAUUAGGGGUACAAUCCCCUCACUCCAGACUGCGGCUCCUAGGAAAGGCAUCGUGAAUGUGGGCAGACAGGAAGAAGGUUCCAGAAACAGAGCCCGCAUUUGGAUCCUGUACCCCAAUCCAGUGAUUAAAAACACCCACCACACUCAGAACACCAGCCCUUCCUAACCAGAAUCCUGCUUCUGAAAAGUAGGGAACACGCUUUCAACUGUACCAAGUGUAUGACAAGGACAUUUCAUUCCCAUUUUUAUUUUAUUUUAUUGCCUUUUUUGGCAGGCUGCACCCACAGCAUAUGAAGGUUCCAGGCUAGGAGUCGAAUUGGAGCUAUAGCUGCCAGCCUAUACCACAGCCACAGUAACACUGGAUCCUUAACCACUGAUUGAAGCCAGGGAUCGAACCUGCAUCCCCAUGGAUACUAGUCAGUUCGUUUCCGUGGAGCCACAAGAGGAACUCCUAGAUCUUCCUUUUUUUUUGGGGGGGUCUUUUUGCCAUUUUUUGGGCCGCUCCUGAGGCAUAUGGAGGUUCCCAGGCUAGGGGUCCAAUUGGAGCUGUAGCCACCGGCCUACACCUCAGCCACAGCAACUCGGGGAUCCGAGCUGCAUCUGCAACCUACACCAUAGCUCAGGGCAACGCCAGAUCCCUAACCCACUGAGCAAGGCCAGGGAUCGAACCCAAAACCUCAUGGUUCCUAGUCAGAUUCGUUAACCACUGAGCCACGAAGGGAACUCUGAUAUUCCCAUUUUUAAAAAGGGAGGCAUUAGAGAAAUUGUGGAAACAGAUUUCAUCUCGCUCAGGAGUGGGAAUAAUUCAAGGAAGGCCAACACAGAGAUCUCAGUGGGUCUAAAAACAACAGUUCAGCCAACUCCCAACCUGUAGCCUGAGUCUCAAGUCUUGCCUCUCAGGGGAUCCUCUUAAAUUCUCUAGAGGUAGGGACAUUUUUGAUAGGUCUUCUAGAACCUGCAGAGUACAGCGCACAGCAUCGCUAGCACUGAUACACAAUGCCUAUCACCUACCUCAGCGCGAUAUCACACAUUUCUAUCUCUUGGCCUUUCAGCUUUAUUAUCUAUCUGCACAGAGUGGGAAAUGUGACCAGCCUGUCUGCCAUCUAAGUUUCUAUAACUGGAUUUUC
This 2923-nucleotide long non-coding RNA is filed under the name Sus scrofa (pig). Its description in RNAcentral is "lncRNA (ENSSSCG00000050949.1)". The record is from RNAcentral. Lineage: Eukaryota; Metazoa; Chordata; Mammalia; Artiodactyla; Suidae.